GUAGGUGGCAAGCGUUGUCCGGAAUUAUUGGGCGUAAAGCGCGCGCAGGCGGUCCUUUAAGUCUGAUGUGAAAGCCCACGGCUCAACCGUGGAGGGUCAUUGGAAACUGGGGGACUUGAGUACAGAAGAGGAAAGCGGAAUUCCAAGUGUAGCGGUGAAAUGCGUAGAGAUUUGGAGGAACACCAGUGGCGAAGGCGGCUUUCUGGUCUGUAACUGACGCUGAGGCGCGAAAGCGUGGGGAGCAAACAGGAUUAGAUACCCUGGUAGUCCACGCCGUAAACGAUGAGUGCUAAGUGUUAGGGGUUUCCGCCCCCUUAGUGCUGCAGCUAACGCAUUAAGCACUCCGCCUGGGGAGUACGGCCGCAAGGCUG
RNAcentral lists this ribosomal RNA (371 nucleotides) under uncultured organism. Its description in RNAcentral is "partial 16S ribosomal RNA". It matches the Rfam family "Bacterial small subunit ribosomal RNA", at positions 527 to 896 of the family's 1533-position model. The record is from RNAcentral.